CACCGCGGUUAUACGAGAGACCCAAGUUGAUAGACACCGGCGUAAAGAGUGGUUAUGGACACCCAAAAACUAAAGCCAAAUGCCCCCAAAGCUGUUAUACGCUCCCGGAGGCCAGAAGCUCAACCACGAAGGUGGCUUUAUGUUUCCUGAACCCACGAAAGCUGCGGCA
RNAcentral lists this ribosomal RNA (169 nucleotides) under Bodianus rubrisos. Its description in RNAcentral is "partial 12S rRNA". Lineage: Eukaryota; Metazoa; Chordata; Actinopteri; Labriformes; Labridae. The record is from RNAcentral.